This 253-nucleotide ribosomal RNA is filed under the name uncultured bacterium. Its description in RNAcentral is "partial 16S ribosomal RNA". It matches the Rfam family "Bacterial small subunit ribosomal RNA", at positions 524 to 776 of the family's 1533-position model. The record is from RNAcentral.
UACGUAGGGUGCAAGCGUUAAUCGGAAUUACUGGGCGUAAAGCGUGCGCAGGCGGUUAUGUAAGACAGAUGUGAAAUCCCCGGGCUCAACCUGGGAACUGCCUUUGUGACUGCAUAGCUAGAGUACGGGAGAGGGGGAUGGAAUUCCGCGUGUAGCAGUGAAAUGCGUAGAUAUGCGGAGGAACACCGAUGGCGAAGGCAAUCCCCUGGGCCUGUACUGACGCUCAUGCACGAAAGCGUGGGGAGCAAACAGG